Pongo pygmaeus (Bornean orangutan) is the source of this 1468-nucleotide long non-coding RNA. RefSeq lists it as uncharacterized. The record is from RefSeq and is a predicted model, not a curated record. NCBI's taxonomy places the organism in Eukaryota, Metazoa, Chordata, Mammalia, Primates, Hominidae. The transcript is spliced from 3 exons.
UGACUCAUACCUGAAGAUAUUUUGACCCCUGUAGUCUUGGGGCAAAAACUAAGGUCCUGUAUCUUCAACUUGUAGGAUGGUCACGGAAUAUCACAACUUGCAUGCACAUUGUAUGAAGCCCUCAAGUGCUACAAAGAGUGCCAAAAUAUAGCCCAGCUAAAACUGUGGUCAAACUAUGGCUGUUGUACACAAACUCAAAUAAAAGUAAGGAUUAUCAGCCUUCCACAUUAACAGAACCCACUGUUGAGGUUCUGAAUCGCACACCAAGAGGCAAUCAAGUUGGAAUUGUGAAUCUCAUGCAUCAAUCCAAUCGACAGAUGAGAUGAUAACACCAAGUCCAGGAUUUAGAACACCUGGGGGCUCUGACUCCCCUAUCAAAACAGUCUGUUGGUGAUAUUUGGGCUCUUGUGCAUUGAUUUAGUCCACUGUUGUGACUGACUUCCAUACUUGAACUCAACCCACAAGAGGUGUUGACUCUUAUACCUUUAGCAGGAAAAUGUCCAGGAUUGUAAAUGUCUGCUAUUGACUGGGUCCAGGUAUGAGUUUUAUUGCUGUUUCUGUGAGCUGGGUUCAAAAAUGAGUCACUGUCUCACCUGUAGCUGUAUCUAUAUAUGACAGUCACAAUUCCAAGUCUGGAUUGCAUUUGCAUGUGAGAUUUAGGACCUCACCAGUGAGAACUAGCUAUGUGUGAGGGUGACAAUUCUAUCAGAUGGAUGUGCAUAUGAGAGUCACAAUCUCAUCUUUGUUCUGGGUCCUGUUAUGACACUGUAUCAUUUGAGGGCUUUAUACAAUAUACCUUGGUAUCAUAAUACACUAUGACCUUUAUUUAAGUAGGAGACCCAGGACCUUAUCUGUUGCCCUAAGCCUAGAUAUCAGAGUCAAAAUCUGUUCUCUUAGCUGGAUCCAGGUAUGAGAGUCAUCAUCUCACCUGUGAGCUGCGACCAUGUAUAUGUCGCAAUUUCACCUGUCAGCAGGAACCAGACAUGAGAGUCCUAUCACCUGGGUGCUGGCAUCUUGAAAUUUUAACAUCGAUGUAAAACAACUUUUGAAAGAUUUAUGAAACAAGUUUCAAGGUUCACCUUCAGGCUGGUUUGGUUAAGUGGAAAAAUGGCAGCAGCCUCAAGGUUCACACUGAAAGAAAAUGCUGUUAUGUGCAUGUCAACCCAUGUAAAAAAUACCUGUAUGCAAGAUGGCACGAAGACUUGUGCAGUUGGAAUCACCAGUGCAAAUGCAUGCAUUUGAGAUGAAAAAAGAUGCAAAGAAGACACAUUUGCUUUUUAUCCACACAUCACUUCCAGUCACUAUGCUGAGCAAAGUCAAUGUGAGCAGAGCUCAGAAUAGCAGUUUUCUGGAAGGACAGCCACUUUUGAGCAAAAAAUGACACAAUAAAAGUAUAAAUAUUUAAUAGUAAGCUAAUAUAUUUUCAGCAAAUUAAGCAUAUGCAUGAAUAAAAUUAUUGUGGUAUAAU